CUGGGGAAAAACAAACAGCAUCAGAUCACUAUGAUAUUAGUUACACAGAAGAAUGGAAAGGUGAUCUUCGGAGAGUAGGAUUGUAGGUGGUUUUUUUUAAUCGAAUUUUUACAUUUUCUACCAGUUCACCAUGCAUCACUUGUUAUUUAAAAGCCAAUUGUAUUACGUAUAAAAAGAAAGAAGAGGGGCCGGUCCUCAGCCCUCUCCGGGGUGGCUGGCUUCUGCUGGUACCAGCUUUAGCUGAAAUAGUCAUAACGAUAGCUCACACUUGGAGACUGUUGACAGCACGCCUGCCACUUUGAGUGCUUUAUGUGACAUGUAUGAACUCGUUUAAUCCUCCUCACCAGCUUGGCCAAGGUCGUGAAGCUGAGGAGCGGCAGGCGAGAGUCCAGCCUCUCCACUAUGUGCUAUGCUGCUUUUCUGGAAGUUGUUUCCAAGCCCUGUGGAUGAAAGGCCUGUCCUUGCCUCGCUCCCUCCACAGUGAAAACAGCCUCCAUUCUGUGCCAGGCGGGAGCUCUCAGGGCUGGGUGUGUGACCCCACUCUGGCAAACAAGGACUAGGAGGACCUACCUCACAAGAUUGUUGGAAGGAUUAAAUUCACAUAAAGUGCUUAGAACACUACUUUGGACACUCUUUCUGUGUCUUCAGUCAUCAUUUACAAACACUUAAAUAAAUAUCUACGUAUUCCCACCUCCUUUGCAGCAGAUCUAACCAUACAACUAAGUUGUGGCCAAUGGAAUGUAAGUAGAAGUGGUAUGUGCAACUUCCAGGAAUUGCCCUCAAAUGGAGAGAUUGUGCCUUUCUCCUCCCCUUUGUCUCUUUCCUGCUAAAUGAAAUUUAGGAAUGGUGGCUGGAGCUGGAGCAGCCAUUUUGGACCAUGAGGCAAAAGCUGAAUGUGGAGGAUUUUGAAGCAACAAGAUAGGAAAUGUCCAAAUCCCUAACAAUUGUGGUACCAACAUACCAGCCUGGACUGCAUUCCUGGACACUCACAUGAGAAAA
RNAcentral lists this long non-coding RNA (999 nucleotides) under Equus asinus (donkey). RNAcentral's name for it is "lncRNA (ENSEASG00005035152.1)". Lineage: Eukaryota; Metazoa; Chordata; Mammalia; Perissodactyla; Equidae. The record is from RNAcentral.